This 253-nucleotide ribosomal RNA is filed under the name uncultured bacterium. RNAcentral describes it as "partial 16S ribosomal RNA". It matches the Rfam family "Bacterial small subunit ribosomal RNA", at positions 524 to 776 of the family's 1533-position model. The record is from RNAcentral.
UACAGAGGUGGCAAGCGUUGUUCGGAAUUACUGGGCGUAAAGGGCGAGUAGGUGGCCAUCUAAGCCAGACGUGAAAUCCCCCGGCUUAACCUGGGAACUGCGUCUGAUACUGGACGGCUUGAGUAUGGGAGAGGAACGUAGAAUUCCAGGUGUAGCGGUGAAAUGCGUAGAUAUCUGGAGGAAUACCGGUGGCGAAGGCGGCGUUCUGGACCAUUACUGACACUGAAUCGCGAAAGCUAGGGGAGCAAACGGG